RNAcentral lists this ribosomal RNA (265 nucleotides) under uncultured bacterium. RNAcentral's name for it is "partial 16S ribosomal RNA". It matches the Rfam family "Bacterial small subunit ribosomal RNA", at positions 88 to 354 of the family's 1533-position model. The record is from RNAcentral.
AUGGCGACCGGCGCACGGGUGAGUAACACGUAUCCAACCUGCCGAUGACUCGGGGAUAGCCUUUCGAAAGAAAGAUUAAUACCCGAUGGCAUAGUUCUUCCGCAUGGUAGAACUAUUAAAGAAUUUCGGUCAUCGAUGGGGAUGCGUUCCAUUAGCUUGUUGGCGGGGUAACGGCCCACCAAGGCAUCGAUGGAUAGGGGUUCUGAGAGGAAGGUCCCCCACACUGGAACUGAGACACGGUCCAAACUCCUACGGAAGGCAGCAG